Molecule: long non-coding RNA, 268 nt
Filed under: Mytilus galloprovincialis (Mediterranean mussel)
Lineage: Eukaryota; Metazoa; Mollusca; Bivalvia; Mytilida; Mytilidae
Source: RNAcentral
CUGGAGAGAAAAUAUUUAUUUAAAAUCACGUUAAAUCCGAUUAUUUAAAAGCCAUCCGACAUAUAUUAUAUGAAAAUCAUCAAUUUGGAAGCCAUAAAAAGAGAUAUGUAGGAGAUACGACGGGUCAAGCGACGGGUCAAGCUGUGUAUCUUUCCCAAUAUACCACUUUGAAAAAUCAUUAUAAACCACACCAUACAAACAACGUUACGUGGAAGUCAACAUUCAUCGAUACCCUCACAUACCACCAACUUUAGUCAUCUAAACGCAU